GCAGUGGUGGUUCAGCAGUAGAAUUCUCGCCUUCCGUGCGGGAGACCUGGGUUCGAUUCCUGGCCAGUGCA
Loxodonta africana (African savanna elephant) is the source of this 71-nucleotide transfer RNA. It matches the Rfam family "tRNA". From Rfam's summary of the family: Transfer RNA (tRNA) molecules are approximately 80 nucleotides in length. Their secondary structure includes four short double-helical elements and three loops (D, anti-codon, and T loops). Further hydrogen bonds mediate the characteristic L-shaped molecular structure. tRNAs have two regions of fundamental functional importance: the anti-codon, which is responsible for specific mRNA codon recognition, and the 3' end, to which the tRNAs corresponding amino acid is attached (by aminoacyl-tRNA synthetases). tRNAs cope with the degeneracy of the genetic code in two manners: having more than one tRNA (with a specific anti-codon) for a particular amino acid; and 'wobble' base-pairing, i.e. permitting non-standard base-pairing at the 3rd anti-codon position. The record is from Rfam. Lineage: Eukaryota; Metazoa; Chordata; Mammalia; Proboscidea; Elephantidae.